UAUGGAUACACAAUUGCAAGAAAAGAAGUAGUAAUAUCACUGAAGUUACCGAAGACCAGUUAUUUAAACUUUCAAUUCAGGGCAACCAAGGGCCAAUGAGUUCAUCUCAUUAUGCAGGGAUGAAUCACAAAACAAACAAGAAGAGACAUGGAGCAGCAUCCGCAACUAGCAAUGCAGGUGCGAAACUGAAUUAGCCCUUUCCAAUUAAAUGCAAAUGGAGGAGAACCCGUAACUAAAUAAAAUUAAGCUUUUGCGAAUAUGAAGAAUAUAGUAGGCCAAUACAAGGCCAAAAACUCGAAAAAGAACUUCUUUCCUUUCCUUUUCAAGAAAGCAACAGUAGAAAGAAAACAUGCCAAUCGAGAUCUGCAAAAGAGGAAGACCCAUAAUGAAAUCACACUGAAGAAUUUCUUCAAACGUUUGAAAAGCUGCAAGUCGUCGCACCUAAUUCGGUCUAGAUGGGUUCGGAUGGCGACAUCACAUUCACUGAUAAUCACGCACGAACGAAGCAAAACCAAGAGAAGAACCCACUGUAGCUCAGAUUGAGACGGACAACGACAUGAGAAAACACGAGCAAAUCAUCAUCAAAAGAGACAAUGCAAACGCAAUGCAAGCGAAACCAACCCACUAUGGAGUAAAUCGACGUAAAGCAUCCAUUCCGCUGAUGAACCAAGAACUUCCCACUUCAACGAGAUCCGAAUCCAAU
Rhodamnia argentea is the source of this 703-nucleotide long non-coding RNA. RefSeq lists it as uncharacterized. The transcript is spliced from 2 exons. NCBI's taxonomy places the organism in Eukaryota, Viridiplantae, Streptophyta, Magnoliopsida, Myrtales, Myrtaceae. The record is from RefSeq and is a predicted model, not a curated record.